GGGGGUUGCGGGGGUGGGCCCCUCCUAGGGGGGAGGGGCUGGGGCCGGACCGGGACCCUCCCCACAGCCCCAGCCCCGCACAGGGGAGGUUGGGGCAGGCAGCUCAAGGCCCCCCCCCCGCGUCCGGACCCCAGGGCGGCUCUCCAAGCGAGGACACGGUGGGGCCCCGAAAAUGGAGCCCCCCAGCGGUUCCGAGCCUCGCCCCACUCCCUGGCGAUGGGAGGGGACGCAGGAGGGGAGUGGCCGGAAGCCUCCGCCUUUCCUCCUCGCUCUCCCGACCAACUGCUCCCGGCCCUCCGCCUUCCAGGGGAGAGAGGAGCUUUUUUGAAGGGCGUCCUCUCCUCGCCCCCAACAGCCCUCCUUUUACGGUUCAUUUUUUGCAGUUUGACGCCUGUCCCCCACCCCCAGCCCUGCCCUGUCCUACCCCUAACCCCCUGGAAACUGAAGAGACAGCCACGCGGUCAGAGCCUCCGGACACCCUGGCCCUGCCCCGGGGGAGUCCACUCCCGGCCCUGGCCUCAGUGGGCCGGGGAUGGGGCGGCGUCAGCCCGCCCCCCACCGUUAUCCCCAACCCUCUCCUGCCCCACAGACUCUUUUGAUACUGAAGGGAGGUUUGCGUCAACGACUACCUGCUCUGUAAUUACUUUAAAAAAAAAAAAAACACGGAAAAAGUAAAAAAUUUUUUGGUCAUGGAAGCAUGGAGGAGAGAGAGAAAAGGGAACAUGGGUGGGCAGCUGAAUGAGGAGAUGGAAAACUCCGGGCCCCAUCGGGAAGGUCAGCGGGGAGCUGGCGCCUCCAGGCGCUCUUAGACCCUUGCCCUUUCACCCCUACGGCCCCAGAGAAGGGCUGGGUCGCCCAGCGCACCUGGCAUUGCGUCUAAUCUCCUUGCACCUCUUAGGAGGCAUGUUCUGGGGUCCUCUCCCCUCACCUCCCACCUCACAGCAGGAAUCCGGGGGCGUGUUUCCUGCGGCUGCCCUUUCAAGGUACCACAGAGUGGGUGGCUCAGAACUACAGCAAUUUAGUGUCUCAGUUCGGAGUCCAAAGUCAAGAUAGGGGCAGAGCCAUGCUCCCUCGUAGGGAAGGGUCCUUCUCCGCCCCUUCUGGCUUCUGGUGGCCCCAGAUGUUCCUUGACUGGUGGCCAGUCUCCACAGGGCAUUCUUCCCAUUUCUCCACGUCACCUUUCCUCUAUAUCUGUGCCCAACUCCCCCCCUUCUAUGAGGUUGUUGUUGUUUAGUCCCUGUGUCAUGUCCAACUGUUUUGUGAUCCCAUGGACUGUAGCCCUCCAGGCUCCUCUGUCCGUGGGACUUCCCAGGCAAGAAUACUGGAAUGGGUUGCCACACGCUCCUGCAGGGGAUCUUCCCGACUCAGGGAUGGAGCCGGCAUCUCCUGCUUGGCAGGCAGGUUCUUUACCACUGAGCCACUUGGGAACCCCUCUUUAUGAAGACAGCAGCCAGACUGGAUUGGGGACCACAGACUCCAGCAUGAUCAAGAUCAUCUGCAAAGAUCCUAUUUCCUGCUAAGGUCAUAUUCACAGCUCCUGGAGGCAAGGACACAAUUCAGCUCAUCACAGAGCCAAACCUGAGAGGGUCCAUCUCCACUGCAAACCCAUUGGAGACACUGCCUCCGGAGAAAGCCGGCAGGGGAGGGAAGGAGGGGCAUGAAGGGUGCUCAAACUGCAGCUGGGGCCUGCUGGGCAUGAGGGGUCUGCACUUCUGCCUGGUUAACUCAGAGGCACGAGGCAGAGUCCAGGCCGGGGGAGUAGGCGGGAGCUAUGCUGUAGCUUCCCAGGUGGCACUAGUGGUAAAGAAUCCGCCUGCCAGUGCAGGAGAUGCAAGAGACGUGGGUUGGAUCCCUGGUUGAAGAAGAUCCCCUGGAGGAGGGCAUGGCAACCCACUCCAGUAUUCUUGUCUGGAGAAGCCCAUGGACAGAGGAGCCUGGCCCGCCAGAACGCAUGGGGUCACGAAGAGUCAGACACGAUUGAAGUGAUUUAGCAGGCUCGGACGCACGCUGUAGCUCAGGAGGGCAGAGGCCGCACACAGAGUCCUCGGAGAGAUGAGAGCCAGCCAGUGGGAGCAAACGACAGAGGUUGGCCAGGCCAGCGGGCAGAUGCUGGUGGGGCUGGAGGAGGCCAAGGUGCCAGCGUUUCAACCUCCAGUGGGUCCCUCAGGGCAGCUUUUGCAUGCUGUGCAGAUGAG
Molecule: long non-coding RNA, 2195 nt
Filed under: Bos grunniens (domestic yak)
Lineage: Eukaryota; Metazoa; Chordata; Mammalia; Artiodactyla; Bovidae
Description: lncRNA (ENSBGRG00000017435.1)
Source: RNAcentral